Molecule: long non-coding RNA, 1351 nt
Filed under: Gossypium barbadense (sea-island cotton)
Lineage: Eukaryota; Viridiplantae; Streptophyta; Magnoliopsida; Malvales; Malvaceae
Description: long non-coding RNA (GBAR_LNC011071)
Source: RNAcentral
GAACAACUAUGGCAGCCAUCAAAGUCCACGGAAGCCCUCUGUCCACUGCUACACAAAGGGUUCUUGCAUGCCUUUACGAGAAAGGUACUGAUUUUCAGUUUGUUCCCAUAAACAUGGCUGCUGGUGAACAUAAAUCCGAAAACUACCUUUCCCUCAAUGUAAGUUUUUCGAUAAUCACAGAUCUGUUUUUUUUUUAAAUCUUUUUUAUCUAGUAAUCCGUGUUUUCCAUGGAUCUAAUAUUUCUCGUCCGGUUGAUACAGCCAUUCGGUCAAGUUCCAGCUUUUGAAGACGGGGACUUGAAGCUCUUCGGUGCAUUUUUAUGACCCAAACCCUUAGUUUUCUUAGCAGUUCUACUGUUUUCUUUUAUAUUUUACUUACUCAUAACCUUAAACUCUUGAACCAGAGAAAAAUAGGCGUUUAAGUGUGAUGAUUAUUAAAAUAGCAACGGUGUUGCGGAUUUACUGCUCUAUAUGGCUUGGUUUGAGUAUAAAUUUUUCAACAAGGUAGUUAGUAAUAAAUUAAUUUUAGGAUGGAUUUGAUGGGCGUUAGUUUAUCUGUUAGUAAAAAAACAGUGAUGGCGGUGAGAUUAGAUAUUGUAGUGAUACUGUAUUAUCUCACCGCACAUCCGAACUCAUCUUUAUUUGUUUAACUUUUUUAGCUACUCACUUGAGAAAUAUGUAUUUUGUUGGGGGCCAGAAUGAACUUAAAAAAUUUGAAGGACUAAAGCUAAAAUUUUAAUCCAUUAGUAUGAGAUUAGGGGCGAAGCCAGUCUGGGGCUAGGAUGAAAUUAAAUUUUUUUGUAUUAAAAUAGUUUAAAUUAAAUUAUUAAAUUUUGAGAGGGUCGAAGUUUUCCUUUCAUAAAAUGGCAAAAAGAGAUUAAAUUGUUUUUUUAUUUUAUUUAUCAUGCCUAUGCUAAACGGAUAUUGGGUUGCUUAUCAUUCCUUUUCAUGAUUAGCUAACCUUAACUUUUGUACAAUGCAGAGUCAAGAGCAGUCACCCAUUACAUUGCUCAUGAAUACAGCGACAAGGGGACCCAACUCUUAAUUCCUGGCUCUAACAAGGAUAUGGCUGUCUUACAAUUAUGGAAGGAAGUGGAAGCCCACCAGUUCGAUUCUCCAUGUUCAAAAAUAGCCUGGGAGGCGUUUUACAAGCCAUUAAUGGGCAUGGUUACCGACUCCGCGGUCGUGGAAGAAAAUGAAGGUAAGCUUGCCAAAGUUCUUGACGUGUACGAGGCUCGAUUGACACGGUCAAAAUACUUGGCAAGUGACUGCUUCACCUUGGCGGACCUGCAUCACCUUCCCACCAUUCAAUACUUGUUGGCUACACCUUCCAAGAAGCUGAUUGAUUCUCG